RNAcentral lists this ribosomal RNA (485 nucleotides) under uncultured bacterium. Its description in RNAcentral is "partial 16S ribosomal RNA". It matches the Rfam family "Bacterial small subunit ribosomal RNA", at positions 28 to 507 of the family's 1533-position model. The record is from RNAcentral.
GAUGAACGCUGGCGGCGUGCUUAACACAUGCAAGUCGAACGGGAUCCAAGGGGUGCUUGCACUUUUUGGUGAGAGUGGCGAACGGGGGAGUAACACGUGAGUAACCUGUCCUUUUCUUUGGGAUAAGCAUUCGAAAGGGUGUUUAAUACCUUAUGUUCUGUCUGCCUCGCAUGGGGUGGGUGGGAAAGGCUUCGGCCGGAUUUGGGUGGGCUCGCGGUCUAUCAGCUUGUUGGGGGGGUGAUGGCUUACCACGGCUUUGAGGGGUAGCCGGACUGAGAGGGUGGUCGGACACGUUGGGCGUGCGAGACGGCCCAGAGUCGCGCCGGUGGCAGCAGUGGGGGAUAGUGCACAAUGGGCGAACGCCCAAUGCAGCUACGUGGCGUGGGCGAUGGAGUUCUUCAGGUUGUAAGCUGCUUUUGCUCUGAACCAGGCAUGUCAGUCGCUGUUUUGAGUGUAGGCAUUGAUUAGCGCCGGCCAACUACGUG